CAGCGCAUCCAGCAGCUAACACCGCGGACCUACGGUCCCCUCGGGACUGGGCCUGACACCCCUCGUUCCGCGCGGGCCCUGCCAGCCCCCUAACGGGCGUUCUUCAACCCCAGCCCCCCCGGCGCUCCCCGCACCCCUCAGCAGCGCCGCAGCGGGGCAGCAGCCGCCGGAUCCCCGCACCGCGCAGGCGCCAGCUCCGCGGGACAAGCCCGGGCCCGUCCCCCCUCGCCUCAGGGGGCUCUCCCGGGCGGCGGCUCGGGCUGCCCGCUGCACGGCGGGGGGAACGGCCGCGGCGGCACCCGCCCCACCGCCCCGACCAGGCGCAGCCCGCACCCCGGGGGUCCGGCCCGCGCCCGUACCUUGAUCCCCGCCUCGCUGCUCCCGUCUAUCAGAGGAAGGGCCCGAGGUGGUGUCGCCCGCCCCGAGCAGCGCGGACCGGCGCGGAUCAGCGCGGCGCGGCACCCACCCGCCGGCACGACCCCCAGCACGCCAUGCAGCCGCGCACGGCGCCCACCGCUCCGCUGUGCUGCGCUGCGCUCCGCCGGGCAGGGGGCGGGGCUGCGCGCUGACGGACUGACACGCAGCCUAAUCACGGAGCGCGCACGGCUGGAGGGGCGGGGCGCCUCUUAAGCCGAGCGGGGCGGGCGCCGCGGCGCCCUCUGGUGGUGCACCACAAGAUGGCGGGCGGGGCCUCACAAGAUGGAGGGCGGGGCCUCCUCAGGUGCCACCGCCCCCGCUCCCCGCCGAGGGCGGCUGGGCAGCGCGUGGAGAUCCGGCCUCGCCGCGGUUCCGUGCUGUGGCCACGGAGGUGCGUGCCGUGUGCCCCUAGCCGCGGGUGUUGUCUGAGAAUCGUCUUGAAUCCAGAGGCCUGUAGAUGGCAAUCUUGCGCUGCAUUGGAGAAGCAAUCAUUGGAGAAGCAAUUCCCAACAUCCUGCACAGCUCCUGAUGUUGGUAGCUACAGAUGCAUUGAAGUAAUAAUACAGGAGCCCAAAGAAAGAACAAAGCAGAACUAGGGUGUUAAAGGUCUUGUACCAGAGGAAUGCAGUGAGCUCACAGUCCAGAUGUCUAUGAGUGCUUGGUUUUACAGAGGUACGUAACCUUUUCUGGACCAGGACAGAUUUUUCAACCUUUGUGGUGGAAUAUGUAUUUGAUGAUGCUUGAAGUUUAACAAUUCAUUUAGGUUUUGCAAAAUUUUAAAGAAAGCACAGUGGAAGAAAGAGGAAUGCAAUUUCACAUAUUUCAUUAAAAAAAAGUGAAAGGGGAU
This 1264-nucleotide long non-coding RNA is filed under the name Anser brachyrhynchus (Pink-footed goose). RNAcentral's name for it is "lncRNA (ENSABRG00000002272.1)". The record is from RNAcentral. Lineage: Eukaryota; Metazoa; Chordata; Aves; Anseriformes; Anatidae.